CAGUAUAUCAGUAUUACGGAUCCAUAUCACAGUAAACAGUAUAUCAGUCGGAUCCAUAUCACAGUAAACAGUAUAUCAGUCGGAUCCAUAUCACAGUAAACAGUAUAUCAGUCGGAUCCAUAUCACAGUAAACAGUAUAUCAGUCGGAUCCAUAUCACAGUAAACAGUAUAUCAGUCGGAUCCAUAUCACAGUAAACAGUAUAUCAGUCGGAUCCAUAUC
RNAcentral lists this long non-coding RNA (220 nucleotides) under Jatropha curcas. RNAcentral describes it as "long non-coding RNA (JCUR_LNC000794)". Lineage: Eukaryota; Viridiplantae; Streptophyta; Magnoliopsida; Malpighiales; Euphorbiaceae. The record is from RNAcentral.